GGGUCGGUGGUGCAGUGGUAGCAUAUGCCCGCGGCGACGUUCUCUUCCGCGGCAAGACCCAGGUUCAAUUCCUGGCUGACCUG
This is a non-coding RNA of Phyllosticta capitalensis, 83 nucleotides long. Lineage: Eukaryota; Fungi; Ascomycota; Dothideomycetes; Botryosphaeriales; Phyllostictaceae. The record is from the annotation of a GenBank genome assembly.